Molecule: transfer RNA, 90 nt
Filed under: Candidatus Marinamargulisbacteria bacterium
Lineage: Bacteria; Bacillati; Candidatus Margulisiibacteriota; Candidatus Marinamargulisbacteria
Description: tRNA-Leu
Rfam family: tRNA
About the family: Transfer RNA (tRNA) molecules are approximately 80 nucleotides in length.
Source: RNAcentral
GCCGGGGUGGUGGAAUUGGUAGACACGAUGGACUUAAAAUCCAUUGAGCCUUCAACGCUCGUGCCGGUUCAAGUCCGGCCCUCGGUACCA